Molecule: long non-coding RNA, 350 nt
Filed under: Coffea arabica (coffee)
Lineage: Eukaryota; Viridiplantae; Streptophyta; Magnoliopsida; Gentianales; Rubiaceae
Description: long non-coding RNA (CARA_LNC006671)
Source: RNAcentral
GCAGAGUGAACGAAUCAUGAUUGGAUGAAUGCUCAAUGCUGGAAUUGCUAUUGCCACGUGGAUCCCUUUGCCGGAUAAUUUCCACUUUCUACUUUUUCUUUUUCUUUUUUAUUACUCCAUCGUCUUUCUUCCCUUCCAGCUAAAUUGGAAUUUGGGAGUUGGGACCCAUUAAAAUUUAAGACAUCAAUUUCACCUUCUAAAUAUGAUAUUGUAGUGGUAAUCACUUUUAACACUAAUUAAUCAUUGUAGUAAAAUUUUGCAAUCUACAUGUAUGCUAAAAUUUCAACUUCUAUAUACUGUCUUGAUUAAUGCUGAAAGCACAAAAUCCAUGUUUAUAUUUUGUUGCCGUG